CACAAGAACUUCCAAACGCCUGAACUGCAGCAGCCAGGCGUUCCUCCAGAACCUCCUCCCCCAGGAGCUUGCUACGAGUGCCAGAAAUCUGACCACCAGGCCAAGGAAUGCCUGCAACCCGGGAUUUCUCCUAAGCCACGUCCCAUCUGUGUGGGACCCCACUGGAAAUCGGACUGUCCAACUCACCUGGCAGCCACUCCCAGAGCCCCUGGAACUCUGGCCCAAGGCUCUCUGACUGACUCCUUCCCAGGUCUUCUUGGCUUAGUGCCUGAAGACUGACGCUGCCCUAUCGCCUCCGAAGCCCCCUAGACCAUCACGGACACCGAGCUUCGGGUAACUCUCACAGUGGAAGACGCACAUGAAACCACCUACGACCUCAGGUCCUCAGACCGAUGAGCCCAAGAAACAUCUCACCAAUUUCAAAUGCGGUUCCCACGCCGCCGCAAUCCCGCUUGAAGCAGCCCUAAGAAACAUCGCCCAUUCUCUCUCUCCAUACCACCCCCCCAAAAUUUUCACCACUCCAACACUUCAACACUAUUUUGUUUCAUUUUUCUUAUUAAUAUAAGAAGGCAGGAAUGUCAGGCCUCUGAGCCCAAGGCAAGCCAUCGCAUCCCCUGUGACUUGCACCUAUAUGCCCAGAUGGCCUGAAGUAACUGAAGAAUCACAAAAGAAGUGAAAACGCCCUGCCCCGCCUUAACUGAUGACAUUCCACCACAAAAGAAGUGAAAAUGGCCGGUCCUUGCCUUAAGUGAUGACAUUACCUUGUGAAAGUCCUUUUCCUGGCUCAAA
This is a long non-coding RNA of Pan troglodytes (chimpanzee), 789 nucleotides long. RefSeq lists it as uncharacterized. The transcript has 3 exons. The record is from RefSeq and is a predicted model, not a curated record. NCBI's taxonomy places the organism in Eukaryota, Metazoa, Chordata, Mammalia, Primates, Hominidae.